This 254-nucleotide ribosomal RNA is filed under the name uncultured bacterium. RNAcentral's name for it is "partial 16S ribosomal RNA". It matches the Rfam family "Bacterial small subunit ribosomal RNA", at positions 524 to 776 of the family's 1533-position model. The record is from RNAcentral.
UACGAAGGGUGCAAGCGUUACUCGGAAUUACUGGGCGUAAAGCGUGCGCAGGCGGUUAUUUAAGUCAGGUGUGAAAGCCCUGGGCUUAACCUAGGAAUUGCGCUUGAGACUGGAUAGCUUGGAGUGCGGCAGAGGGAGGUGGAAUUCCACGUGUAGCAGUGAAAUGCGUAGAGAUGUGGAGGAACACCGAUGGCGAAGGCAGCCUCCUGGGCCAGCACUGACGCUCAUGCACGAAAGCGUGGGGAGCAAACAGG